This 253-nucleotide ribosomal RNA is filed under the name uncultured bacterium. RNAcentral describes it as "partial 16S ribosomal RNA". It matches the Rfam family "Bacterial small subunit ribosomal RNA", at positions 524 to 776 of the family's 1533-position model. The record is from RNAcentral.
UACGGGGGGGGCAAGCGUUGUUCGGAAUCAUUGGGCGUAAAGGGCGCGUAGGCGGUCGCGUGUGUCUGCUGUGAAAGCACACGGCUCAACCGUGUGAAGUCGGUAGAAACUGCGGGACUUGAGGCUGGGAGAGGUUGGUGGAAUUCCCUAUGUAGCGGUGAAAUGCGUAGAUAUAGGGGAGAACACUCGUGGCGAAGGCGGCCAGCUGGACCAGCCCUGACGCUGAGGCGCGACAGCGUGGGGAGCAAACAGG